GUGGCAGCCCCCGUUCAAACUGUGUUUCGAGCUCCAACACGAGCUUCUUCCUCUCUCCCUGGCACGAGUUUCUUUUCUCUCCGUGGCUGCUACUUCUGCUUCUUCCGUCGUGGCCGUUGCCGCUGCCGCCGCUGCUUGCAUCGCACAAUCUCUCUGUCAUCCCUUGCGUCCUACGAGAUCCCCCCGCCGCCGCUCUCGUCGCAGAGCUCUCUCUGCCGACGCUCUCGUCGCAUCUGCUCCCUCUGGCGCCUCUUCCAUCUAAUCUCAACUCGCUCUCUCAGUUCUUCUUGUAACCAUCUCAAAUUUCAGUGUUACAGCUCAAGAUCUUGUUGACACUAUGCUUCUAAAUUUGCUUCUAAAUUUCUGAUAUCUUCACUCUUAACGAUGGAUCUGUAACGCCUCUACUCAAGAGCAUGACAGUGCAUAAUAUGUAUGUUGGAGAGGGUUCAGACUUCCAAUAUAAUAUAUAAAAGGGUGGCUGAGCAGUGGGGUUCUCUUGGUGACUUGACUGCGUCUGUUACAUCGAUUCGAUUCGAUUGAUACAGAAGGAAUACUCAGGAUCUGCUUGAACUGGCGAUGGAUCUGUUAGACGAGAUCAAGUUGGUCUAGCGGGUCAAAAUACUCAGCUUGUUCAUCAGGGUUCACUGAAUUAUAUUAGUUCCCAGUUGGUUGAAUCUAUUUUAAGCAAGGUUGUAGAAGAGUUCGAGCAUCAGAUUGCAAGCUGAGGAGGUGAACAGUUACAACCAAAAAUAACUUCAAGAGAUCCUGUUUCUCAAAGCAAUGGGUCUGCAUUGAAGUUUGUUAUUGGCCUAGUUGUUGGGAGUAUCAAGUUGGCCCUUGUGUAGUUAUUGAAGCCGCUGAUUAUAUUUGGUGCUCAAGUAUUUUAUUGGUGUUCAACUUGAUGGUAGCCAACAAUUGGAGCCUCUUCACAACUGCAUUGCAGAUGAUACUGCCAAAGAGGGACAAUUAUUGGU
Arachis stenosperma is the source of this 974-nucleotide long non-coding RNA. RefSeq lists it as uncharacterized. The record is from RefSeq and is a predicted model, not a curated record. Lineage: Eukaryota; Viridiplantae; Streptophyta; Magnoliopsida; Fabales; Fabaceae. The transcript is spliced from 7 exons.